CNNAUGCAGUCGACGGCAGCACAGUAAGAGCUUGCUCUUAUGGGUGGCGAGUGGCGGACGGGUGAGGAAUACAUCGGAAUCUACUUUUUCGUGGGGGAUAACGUAGGGAAACUUACGCUAAUACCGCAUACGACCUUCGGGUGAAAGCAGGGGACCUUCGGGCCUUGCGCGAUUGAAUGAGCCGAUGUCGGAUUAGCUAGUUGGCGGGGUAAAGGCCCACCAAGGCGACGAUCCGUAGCUGGUCUGAGAGGAUGAUCAGCCACACUGGAACUGAGACACGGUCCAGACUCCUACGGGAGGCAGCAGUGGGGAAUAUUGGACAAUGGGCGCAAGCCUGAUCCAGCCAUACCGCGUGGGUGAAGAAGGCCUUCGGGUUGUAAAGCCCUUUUGUUGGGAAAGAAAAGCAGCGGGCUAAUACCUUGCUGUUCUGACGGUACCCAAAGAAUAAGCACCGGCUAACUUCGUGCCAGCAGCCGCGGUAAUACGAAGGGUGCAAGCGUUACUCGGAAUUACUGGGCGUAAAGCGUGCGUAGGUGGUUGUUUAAGUCUGUUGUGAAAGCCCUGGGCUCAACCUGGGAACUGCAGUGGAAACUGGAUGACUAGAGUGUGGUAGAGGGUAGCGGAAUUCCCGGUGUAGCGGUGAAAUNGCGUAGAAA
This 656-nucleotide ribosomal RNA is filed under the name bacterium AK-30. Its description in RNAcentral is "bacterial SSU rRNA". It matches the Rfam family "Bacterial small subunit ribosomal RNA", at positions 52 to 696 of the family's 1533-position model. The record is from RNAcentral.